UACGAAGGGGGCUAGCGUUGCUCGGAAUCACUGGGCGUAAAGGGUGCGUAGGCGGGUCUUUAAGUCAGGGGUGAAAUCCUGGAGCUCAACUCCAGAACUGCCUUUGAUACUGAGGAUCUUGAGUUCGGGAGAGGUGAGUGGAACUGCGAGUGUAGAGGUGAAAUUCGUAGAUAUUCGCAAGAACACCAGUGGCGAAGGCGGUCUGCUGGGCAGUUGCUGACACUGAGGCGCGACAGCGUGGGGAGCAAACAGG
Molecule: ribosomal RNA, 253 nt
Filed under: uncultured bacterium
Lineage: Bacteria
Description: partial 16S ribosomal RNA
Rfam family: Bacterial small subunit ribosomal RNA
Source: RNAcentral